UACGUAGGUCCCGAGCGUUGUCCGGAUUUAUUGGGCGUAAAGCGAGCGCAGGUGGUUUAUUAAGUCUGGUGUAAAAGGCAGUGGCUCAACCAUUGUAUGCAUUGGAAACUGGUAGACUUGAGUGCAGGAGAGGAGAGUGGUAUUCCAUGUGUAGCGGUGAAAUGCGUAGAUAUAUGGAGGAACACCGGUGGCGAGAGCGGCUCUCUGGCCUGUAACUGACACUGAGGCUCGAAAGCGUGGGGAGCAAACAGG
RNAcentral lists this ribosomal RNA (252 nucleotides) under uncultured bacterium. RNAcentral's name for it is "partial 16S ribosomal RNA". It matches the Rfam family "Bacterial small subunit ribosomal RNA", at positions 524 to 776 of the family's 1533-position model. The record is from RNAcentral.